CCGGCGUCGCCCCACUGGGAGCCCCCGCACGCACGCGCCGCAGGCCGCGCCAGACGCCCCGCCGGAGACCAGACAGCGGUGUUGGGGGGGCCUUAAAGGGACCGCCGCGCUGACUGAGCCGGAGCGGACGGGGCGGUGCGCGCUCCCCAGGUCUUGCACUAUUGCUGUUAGGGGGAUUGUUAUUAUUUGCAAAGAACUGGAUUGCCACCAGGUUUACAAGGCUGUUUCACGCGUGUUGUCUUGUGAGCUCCUGAAUGGCUCUCCUGACCUAGCUCGGAAGCAGGGCAGGACAGAGGAGCUCGGCCUCCAAGUGACAGCAGUGAUGACAGCCCCCAUUUACAGAGCACCCAGUGUGCGCCGGAUUCUUAGGAGGAACCUCAUACAUGUACUCCGUAAUGUUGGCAAUAAUCCUCCAAGUCGAGUACCAUUAAGACCAUUUCACACGUGAGGCUCUGGGAGAUUUUUGUGAUUUGUCACAAACCACAUAGCAGUCUUGGACCUCUAGUUACCAAGGGAAAUGAAGGAGCAAGCAGCUCGACUGGAAGCCUGCCGGGAAGGAGAGGCAGCUGGUGCCCAGCCCCUUGUGGAAUCCUGCCCCCUAGUGGAGUGAUCAAAACUGCAGGCCUCUGUCCUCCAAUGUUCUCAAACCUUCUGCCUCCGUGGAUCACAGCCAUUGUGCUCCCAGCACUGGGCACAGGACAGCAGAGGCCACCCCUGUGGGACAGACACAUGGACUAUGAACAGAAGCGUGUGCUUCAAGCCAGAGGGUCUCAAUCAUUCCCUGAACACCCAUGCCCUCUUUGGAUAGAAGUAUUUUAUGGCAUCCUCUUAGUACCAUGAAAUAAAAAUCAUAGAUAAUAGAAUAUGCCCAAACACAUAACUAAAAAAAUAAGUAAUUGCAUAAGUUCACCAAAUGACAUUCAUAAAAUGUUGCUAGGGACAGGCAUUUGGCCUAGUGGUUAAGCAACAGCUUGGGAUACCCACACCCCAUGUUGGAGUGCCUGGGUUCAAAUCCUGGCUCCAUUCCCAGUUUCAACUUCCUGCUAAUGUAGACUCUAGGAGGCAUCCGUGAUGGCUCAAGUACUUGGGUCCCUGCCUUCCAUAUGGGGAUCCUGAAUUGGGUUCCUGGCUCCUGGCUUUAGCCUGGCCCAGCCUAGGCUGUUGCAGACAUUCAGGGAGUAAACCAGUGGAUGGAAGUUUUCUUUCUUUCUCUCAAUCUACCUCUCAAAUAAAUUACUUAAUUAAUUUUUUUAAAAGAACGUACAUGGCACUGUUAUUUGUAAUAGCCCCAAACUGGAAACAGCCCAUAUAUUCACCUUCAAUAGCAUGGAGAAAUAAGCCAUGAGAUAUCCAUACAAAAAAAUGCCCUGCAGUGAUGAGAAUGAACACACUCCCAAUUCACCCAACAACAUGAGUUUGAAAAUGUAAUUUUGACUCAAGGAAACAACACGCAAAACAUUUAUGCACUGUAUGAUUCUAUUUAUAUCAAGUUCAAAGAUAGGCAGAAUUAAUUUAAGGUGCUGGAAAUAAACUAAAACUCUUUUUUUAAAAAAAAGAUUAUUUAUUUCAAAGGCAGACUUAUAGAGAGGCAGAGGCAGAAAGAGAGAGAGAGAGUGAAAGAGAGAGAGAGAGAGAGAGGUCUUCCAUCUGCUGGUUCACUCCCCAAAUGGCUGCAAUGGCUAGAGCUGGGCCAAUCUGAAACCAGGAGCCAGGAACUUCUUCCAGGUCUCCCACGCAGGUGCAAGGGCCCAAGGACUUGGGCCAUCUUCUACUGUUUUCCUAGGCCACAGCAGAGAGCUGGAUCGAAGUGGAGUGGCCGGGACUCAAACUGGCAGCCACAUGGGAUCCCGGCACUGCAGGUGGCGGCUUUACCCGCUACGCCACAGCACCAACCUCAAAGCAAAACUUUUGAAAAUGAAGGAUCUCUGAGAUAAAAGGAUUUGUUGAGCCAAUGCCAGCCAGCAAGGAGACUAUGUCCUGGGACAAGAUUCUACAACCUUCAGCAGCAAGGCUGGGAAGCACUUGGAAAAGUGUCUGCCUGGCCUAGAGCUAGAAGUAGCUUUAUGUUAAGGACUGGGGGAAGAAAACAUAAAUUGUCUACACUGAAGAUGUGCUAACUUUUUUAAAAAAUUAUUUUUAGGCACCGGUGCUGUAGUACAGUGGGUUAAAGCCCUGGCUUGAAGUGCUGGCAUCCCAUAUGGGUGCCAGUUCUAGUCCUGGCUGCUCCUCUUCUGAUCCAGCUCUCUGCUAUGGUCUGGGAUAGCAGUAGAAGAUGGCCCAAGUGCUUAGGCCCCUGCACCCACAUGGGAGACCUGGAGGAAGCUCCUGGCUCGUAACUUUGGAUUGGCUCAGCUCCGGCCAUUAAAGGCCAUUGUUUUGAUGAAAUGCAUGCACUGGGCCCCAAGAGACCAGCCUAAAAGUUAAAAUGGAGUCACCUGUGCUAAAGUUCCAAGUCUCCAAGCUGAAAGCAAGCUGUGUGUCUGAACGUCCAAGAAAUCAGGAUUAAAGACACAACAAACACAUUUCCCCACAACAGCCUGUUCAGUUAGAAUAAUCACGCUAUUCUCUCUGCUUUAAUGCUAACACACAAAAGGCUAACCUGGAAGCGGGCCUUUAACCUAGUGGUUAAGAUACCUGCAUCCCACGCUGGAGAACCUCGGCUCAGUUUCCAGCUCCAGCUCCUGACUCCAGCUUCCUGCUAGUGCAGUCCCUGGGAGGCAGUGGUGAUGGCUCAGGUAACUGAGUUCCUGCCACCCACAUGGGAGACCUGCAUAGCAUACCCAGCUCCUGGCUUCAACCAGGCCCAGCCCAGCCCUGGCCACUGUGAGCAGUGAAUGAGAGUUCACUCUCUUCUCUCUCUUUCUUUGUGUGUGUUUGCCUCUCUCAUUCAUUCAUUCAUUAUUUUAAAAAAAGGGAGCUGGGUUGCUGGCUUUGUGGCACAGUGGUACCACCAGGCCAGCACCACAGUGACCAUCUGUCCCUAUCGUUUUCCUCAUGUUUCUUGCUUCUCUCCCAUGACCCUCCCAGGCACGUGACAGGCAGACCAGGUGCAGGGGCACCGUGCGUCCUGCAGCCCCUCAGCCCUGGAACUCACCCUGGUUUUGAACUUGUACCUCUGUCAAGCAAGCACACAGAGAAGGGGAGCCAAAUGGCAUGAAAGCCGGGCCAUUAAAGCCCUUUUCCAGGGGCUGGUGCUGUGGCGUGCUAGGCUGAGCUCCACCUGCCCCACCGGUAUCCCAUAUGGGGGCAGGUUCGUGUCUCUCUGCUGUGGCCCGGGAAAGCAGCAGAGGAUGGCCCAAGUGCUUGCUCCCUGCACCGGCAUGGGGGGACCUGGAGGAAGCUCCUGGCCCUUGGCUUCAGAUCGGUGCAAUUCUGACUGUUUCGGCCAUUUGGGGAGUGAACUGAAAAAGCUCUGGUCGCUUCAGCGAGCUUGAGGGCUCGGCCGUGUGCCUCCUGUGUGAGGGACUGACCCUUGGUCACACCAUCACAUGGGCCUUUGAACACAUGUGCCCUUUCCCGCUGUAGCUGCCUCCUGCAGAGCCUUCAAAGCUCACUCAUCUGCCCCUCCUGGAAGCUUUCCCUUUUCUCCAGGGUUCCCAUGACUACCAGCAGACAGACCUGGGACCUGACCCCAUGCUCCAGGGUCUGCAGAAGCCCCCCAGACAUCACCCCUGCUGCCUCUGGAUGGUCUAAAGGGAAGGCCUGACCUGGUUGAGGGGGCUUAUAUCUUUUCUUGAAGGCGUUUGUUGCUGUUGGAGGUUUUUCCUUGGUAAGAAGUUUUUCUUUCUUUUUUUCAAGAGCUCCUUCCGGGUCUCCCAUGCGGGUGCAGGGGCCCAAGCACUUGGGCCAUCUUCUACUGCCUUCCCAGGCCAUGGCAGAGAGCUGGACUGAAAGAGGAGCAGCCAGGACAUGAACUGGUGCCCAUAUGGGAUGCUGGCACUGCAGGCAGAGCCUUAGCCUAUUAGGCCACAGCACCAUUCCCAGUAAGAAGCUUUUCUUUGGGGCCUUCUUGUAUUUUGGCUUUGAGUUCAUCACUACUUAGUUCUUUAAAAAAAAAAAAAAGAUGUAAUUAUACAUGUGAAAGGCAGAGUUACAGAGGGAAAGGGAUCUUCCAUCCACUGGUUCACUACUCAGAAGGUUACAACAGCUGGGGCUGGGCCAGACCGAAGCCUAGGAGCCUAGAACUCCAUCCAGAUCUCCCAGGUGGAUGCAGGUCCUUGGGCCAUCCUCUGCUGCUUUCCCAGGUGCAUUAGCAGGGAGCUGGAUCGGAAGUGGAGCAGCUGGGACUUAUGACCAGCGCUCCUAAGGGAUGCCACUGUCACAGGAAGCUGCUUACCCUGCAGCACUGCAAUGCCGGCCCCACUACUUAGUUCUUGAGUUUGCACUUUUGUUUUGCUCGAAAUAAAUCCUGCUU
Non-coding RNA from Oryctolagus cuniculus (rabbit), 4414 nucleotides. NCBI's taxonomy places the organism in Eukaryota, Metazoa, Chordata, Mammalia, Lagomorpha, Leporidae. The record is from RefSeq and is a predicted model, not a curated record.